ACAUUAACAAUCAUAAUCAAGCAUUAAGGAAGCUCAAUUAAAUUUUAUUGAAGUUAUAAAAGAAACACAAGAAAAUCCAAAAGAAAUAUAAAAGAAUAUUAAAGAAAACUUAGUCAACCCUAACAAAAAUCUAAUAAAACCUUAAAUUCUAUUCAACCCCUAAUCCUAAUUCAACCUUAAUCAAAUCCUAGACAAACUCUAAAUCCUAAACCAAAUCCUAAUCAAACCUUAAUCAAAUCCUAAACCUUAAAUCAAUCCCUAACAAAAUCCUAAACCAAAUCCUAA
RNAcentral lists this long non-coding RNA (285 nucleotides) under Physcomitrium patens. Its description in RNAcentral is "long non-coding RNA (PPAT_LNC007202)". Lineage: Eukaryota; Viridiplantae; Streptophyta; Bryopsida; Funariales; Funariaceae. The record is from RNAcentral.